GAUGAACGCAGGCGGCAUGCCUUACACAUGCAAGUCGAACGGCAGCAUGGAGAGCUUGCUCUCUGAUGGCGAGUGGCGAACGGGUGAGUAAUGCAUCGGAACGUACCGUGUAAUGGGGGAUAACGUAGCGAAAGUUACGCUAAUACCGCAUACGACCUGAGGGUGAAAGCAGGGGAUCGCAAGACCUUGCGUUAUACGAGCGGCCGAUGUCAGAUUAGCUAGUUGGUGAGGUAAAGGCUAACCAAGGCGACGAUCUGUAGCGGGUCUGAGAGGAUGAUCCGCCACCCUGGGACUGAGACACGGCCCAGACUCCUACGGGAGGCAGCAGUGGGGAAUUUUGGACAAUGGGGGCAACCCUGAUCCAGCCAUGCCGCGUGAGUGAAGAAGGCCUUCGGGUUGUAAAGCUCUUUCGGCCGGGAAGAAAUCGCACAGGCUAAUACUCUGUGUGGAUGACGGUACCGGCAUAAGAAGCACCGGCUAACUACGUGCCAGCCGCCGCAGUAA
Molecule: ribosomal RNA, 504 nt
Filed under: uncultured bacterium
Lineage: Bacteria
Description: partial 16S ribosomal RNA
Rfam family: Bacterial small subunit ribosomal RNA
Source: RNAcentral